AUCCAGCUGUUGAGUCCCAAAUAGGACGAAACGCAUGUCCUGGAU
This 45-nucleotide non-coding RNA is filed under the name Schistosoma mansoni. The record is from RNAcentral. Lineage: Eukaryota; Metazoa; Platyhelminthes; Trematoda; Strigeidida; Schistosomatidae.